UACAGAGGGUGCAAACGUUGUUCGGAAUUACUGGGCGUAAAGCGUGUGUAGGCGGUUUUGUAAGUCGGGCGUGAAAGCCCCGGGCUCAACCCGGGAAGUGCACUCGAUACUGCGGAACUAGAGUUUCGGAGAGGUUGGUAGAAUUCUUGGUGUAGAGGUGAAAUUCGUAGAUAUCAAGAGGAAUACCGGUGGCGAAGGCGGCCAACUGGACGAAAACUGACGCUGAGACGCGAAAGCGUGGGGAGCAAACAGG
This 253-nucleotide ribosomal RNA is filed under the name uncultured bacterium. RNAcentral describes it as "partial 16S ribosomal RNA". It matches the Rfam family "Bacterial small subunit ribosomal RNA", at positions 524 to 776 of the family's 1533-position model. The record is from RNAcentral.